Molecule: non-coding RNA, 169 nt
Organism: Jatropha curcas
Lineage: Eukaryota; Viridiplantae; Streptophyta; Magnoliopsida; Malpighiales; Euphorbiaceae
Source: RefSeq, a predicted model, not a curated record
CAAGCUACCCCUAGGCAUACAUUAGGUUAUAUUACUUAUCUUACUGGAGAUGGGCCUGAUCAGCCACAACCAAAGAUGGCUUUUACUGGGGACGCUUUACUAAUACGGGGAUGUGGGAGAACUGAUUUUCAGGGCGGAAGUUCACAUCAACUUUAUCAGUCAGUGCAUU